This is an RNA transcript of Aethalodelphis obliquidens (Pacific white-sided dolphin), 5113 nucleotides long. It is a transcript of the gene named structural maintenance of chromosomes 6, with no coding region annotated. The record is from RefSeq and is a predicted model, not a curated record. The transcript is spliced from 28 exons. NCBI's taxonomy places the organism in Eukaryota, Metazoa, Chordata, Mammalia, Artiodactyla, Delphinidae.
CCCCGCGGGCCGACGGCGGCCGGCCGACGCCGAGACGCCCCUCGGGUGGCUUUAGCGUCCUGUUGCGCCACGGCCGCCCCGCCGAUCAGGUUCCUUCGGGAGACUUCGACUUGUUCGAGACCUGAUGGCCAAAAGAAAGGAAGGAAAUUUCUUCUCUCCUGGAAAUGCCAAAAGACCAAGACAAGAAGAGCUGGAUGAUUUUGAUAAAGAUGGUGACGAAGAUGAAUGUACAGUUUCUUUCACUAAUGGUACCUCUGCUUUGACAGCAGCAGAAGUUGGAAUCAUUGAGAGUAUUCAGCUCAGAAACUUCAUGUGUCAUUCGAUGCUUGGACCCUUUAAAUUUGGUUCUAAUGUCAACUUUGUUGUUGGCAAUAAUGGAAGUGGGAAGAGUGCAGUACUCACAGCUCUUAUAGUUGGUCUUGGUGGAAAAGCAGUUGCUACUAACCGAGGAUCUUCUUUGAAAGGUUUUGUGAAAGACGGACAGAACUCAGCAGAUAUCUCAAUAACAUUAAGGAACAGAGGGGAUGAUGCCUAUAGAGCCAAUGUGUACGGUGACUCUAUAAUUGUGCAACAGCACAUCAGCAUGGAUGGAAGUCGAUCUUAUAAACUGAAAAGUGAAACAGGCGCCUUGGUUUCCACUAGGAAAGAAGAACUGAUUGGAAUUCUUGAUCAUUUUAACAUACAGGUAGAUAAUCCAGUUUCUGUCUUAACGCAAGAGAUGAGCAAGCAGUUCUUGCAGUCUAAAAAUGAGGGAGACAAAUACAAAUUCUUUAUGAAAGCAACCCAACUGGAACAAAUGAAGGAGGAUUAUUCAUACAUCAUGGAAACCAAAGAAAGAACAAAGGAGCAGAUAAAUCAAGGAGAAGAGCGACUUACUGAACUAAAGCGCCAGUGUUUGGAGAAAGAAGAACGUUUUCAGAGUAUUGCUGGCUUAAGUACAAUGAAGACCAAUCUGGAAUACUUGAAACAUGAAAUGGCUUGGGCAGUGGUCAAUGAAAUUGAAAAACAACUGAAUGCUAUCAGAGACAACAUCAAAAUUGGAGAAGAUCGUGCUGCUAGACUUGAGAGGAAAACGGAAGAACAGCAGGUCAGACUUAAUGAAGCAGAAAAAAAGUACAAGGAUAUUCAAGAUAAACUAGAAAAGAUUAGUCAAGAGACAAAUGCACGAGCACCAGAAUGUAUGGCAUUGAAAGCAGAUCUGACUUCCAAGAAGAGGGCCUAUAAUGAAGCUGAGGUUUUAUACAACCAUUCCCUAAACGAGUAUAGAGCAUUAAAGAAAGAUGAUGAGCAACUUUGUAAAAGAAUUGAAGAACUGAGAAAAAGUGCUGAUCAGUCUUUGGAACCUGAACGGUUGGAAAGGCAAAAAAAAAUAUCUUCGUUAAAAGAAAGAGUAAAGGUCUUACAGGAUCAAGAAAGUUCAGUCAAUCAAGAGAUCGAACAAUUUCAGCAAGCCGUAGAAAAGGACAAAGAAGAACAUACCAGAAUUAAGAGAGAAGAGUUAGAUGUGAAGAAUACACUGAACUAUAAUCAGAGGCAACUGAAAGAAUUGAAAGACAGUAAAACUGAUCGACUGAAAAGAUUUGGCCCUCAUGUUCCAGCUCUUCUGGAAGCCAUAGAUGAUGCUUACAGACGGAGGCAUUUUACCCGUAAACCUGUAGGCCCUUUAGGAGCUUGCAUUCAUCUUCGGGACACUGAGCUUGCUUUGGCCAUUGAAUCUUGCUUGAAAGGACUUCUGCAAGCCUAUUGUUGCCAUAAUCAUGCUGAUGAAAGAGUGCUUCAGGCACUGAUGAAAAGGUUUUACUCACCAGGGACAUCACGGCCACAGAUAAUAGUUUCUGAGUUUCGGAAUGAGGUGUAUGAUGUAAGACACAGAGCUGCUUAUCAUCCAGAGUUCCCAACAGUUCUGACAGCUUUAGAAAUAGAUAAUGCAGUUGUCACAAAUAGCCUAAUUGACAUGAGAAGCAUAGAGACAGUGCUGCUGAUCAAAAAUAAUUCUGUAGCUCGUGCAGUAAUGCAGUCCCAAAACCCACCCAAGAAUUGUAGAGAAGCUUUUACUGCUGAUGGUGAUCAAGUUUUUGCAGGGCGUUAUUAUUCAUCUGAAUAUACAAGACCUAAGUUUCUCAGCAGAGAUGUGGAUUCUGAAAUAAGUGACUUGGAGAAUGAGGUUGAAAAUAAGAAAGCCCAGAUAUCAAAUCUUCAGCAACAUUUGUCUGCCCUUGAAAAGGAUAUUAAACACAAUGAAGAACUUCUUAGAAGGCGCCAACUGCAUUAUAAAGAGUUAAAGAUGAAAAUAAGAAGAAGUAUUUCUGAAAUUCGGGAACUUGAGAAUAUAGAAGAACACCAGUCUGUAGAUAUUGCAACCUUGGAAGAUGAAGCUCAAGAAAAUAAAAUCAAAAUGAAAAUGGUUGAGAAAAACAUGGAACAACAAAAAGAGAAUAUGGAACAUUUUAAAAGUCUGAAAAUAGAAGCGGAAAACAAGUAUGAUGCAAUUAAACAGAAAAUUAAUCAGCUAUCAGAGCUAGCAGAUCCACUUAAGGAUGAAUUAAACCUUGCUGAUUCUGAAGUGGAUAACCAAAAACGAGGGAAACGGCAUUAUGAAGACAAGCAAAAAGAACACUUGGAUACUUUAAAUAAAAAGAAACGAGAAUUAGAUAUGAAAGAAAAAGAACUAGAGGAGAAAAUGUCACAAGCAAGACAAAUCUGCCCAGAGCGGAUAGAAGUAAAAAAAUCUGCAUCAAUUCUAGACAAAGAAAUUAAUAGAUUAAGACAAAAGAUACAGGCAGAACAUGCUAGUCAUGGAGAUCGAGAGGAAAUAAUGAGGCAAUAUCAAGAAGCAAGAGAAACCUAUCUUGAUCUGGAUAACAAAGUAAGGACUUUAAAAAGGUUUAUUAAAUUACUGGAAGAAAUAAUGACCCAUAGAUAUAAAACGUAUCAACAAUUUAGAAGGUGUUUGACUUUACGAUGCAAAUUGUACUUUGACAACUUACUAUCUCAGCGGGCCUAUUGUGGAAAAAUGAAUUUUGACCACAAGAAUGAAACUCUUACUAUAUCUGUUCAGCCUGGAGAGGGAAACAAAGCCGCUUUCAAUGACAUGAGGGCCUUAUCUGGCGGUGAACGUUCUUUUUCCACAGUUUGCUUCAUUCUUUCUCUGUGGUCCAUUGCUGAAUCUCCUUUCAGAUGCCUGGAUGAGUUUGAUGUCUACAUGGAUAUGGUUAACCGGAGAAUUGCGAUGGAUAUGAUACUCAAGAUGGCAGAUUCCCAGCGCUUCAGACAGUUCAUCCUGCUUACCCCUCAAAGCAUGAGAAUGGGAAGUGGAAUCCUCAGGUAUCCAGGCAUCUCUUGUUGAGUUGAAGAUUAUUCAUUGCUUUGGCCUCACAAAGUUUGGGUUUCAACUAUCCCUUGUAAAAACAUGUGCUCGUUGCUGUGCCUACAUCAGUUUCCAGCUGGAGCCUAGUAUGCCUCAGGGUGCACGCACCACGUCUUACCUAGUCCUCUAGUCAUGAGCCACUAGGUUGCCUCCAGCCCCCACUCCAGAAACAGAGCUGUCACGGACAUCCUGGGACAAGUCCCCAUACAUCCUCCUGUGAGAGCUUCUUGGGGCAACAAACCCAGGAGUGGAAAUGCUGGGUCAGAGGACAUAUGUACACUUACUCUAACCAAUACUGCUGGACUGCUGUCAGGACCCUGCCCCAGUCGACACUAGCGGAGCAGAGAGAACUAAAACAAGCACAAAACGUUUGUUUGCUGGCCCAAUUUCUACAUUUUAUUUACUUAUUUACCAGUGAGUCUGCUGAAGGGUUUGUUUUCCAUAAGCGCCCCAAGUACCCAUGUGGCUCAUUUCCUUCACUUGGGUCUUCCAUUAGUGUCACCUAAACAGCCUAUAGGAAGUGGCCACUGCUGCAUCCCAUCACUCUCCCUCCUUCUUUAUUUGCUAUGCUUUUCUUCAUAGUUCUUACAGUUAGACAUUUGUGUGUGUGUGUGUGUGUGUGUGUGUGUGUUUAUUGUUUAUUGUCUGUCUCCUCCCAUACGAAUAGUGUUGGGUGCACAGAGGGUGAUCAGUGAAAAUUUGCUAUGAAUUCAUCGCCUGUAGCUUGACUUAACCAAGUGCCUUUCCAAGGAAUCUCCCCAGCUCCUCAACCCACCCCGCCCUCAGCCAGAGGAGAGCACAUUGGGAGGCACAGAACGUCUCUCCCUGCCUCUACUUUGGACUCACCAAGCACAGGGGUUAAUGGCACCAGGACAUCCUAUUAGCACUUGGGACUGUUCUCUCUGGGGACGGAAGUUUGUUUCUGUUGGGGUUUCGGGUACUGUCGUUGCCCUGAAUGUUUGUGGGGAGGUUUGCUGGCUCCCAGUUUCUUGCUGAAUGGAUGAAUGGAAUCAUCAGGCCCUGGUCUGUGGUCUCAUCUAAUGCUCCUAAGACAGACAAAGGAGGAGUAUUUAGAAAAAAAGGCGCUCCAUAAAAAGAGUAAUUUAGCACUGUACUGUCUGAUACAAUAACUACUGGCUACACGUGGCAAAUUAAAUUUAAAUUAAGAUAAAAUGAAAAAUGCAGUCCCUCAGUCACACUAGCUGAACUGGAAGUGCUCAAAGUUCACAUGUAGCCAGUGUAGGUACAGAUGUUUCCAUCAUCCUAGAAAGUUCUACUGGACAGCACUGUAGAAAGAAACGGUCUCAUUCAGGCUUGUUCUGAAAACGCAGGCCCGCCUUUAGACUUCCUGAUGGAAUCUCUCUGCCUUCCUUCCUCCAGCUUAAAAGGGUCAGGAUUUUGUUCCACCGUUAAAACAACGAGUACACUUUUGAUUUGGAAAGACAGCCUUUUGGAGGACGCUUCUCAGUCAGCUAAAUGUGUCCUCCACGUAGUUGUGUCAAACAUAGCGCGUGGUAAGCACCACAGUCACACUGAGAAAACGUAUACUGUCAUAUAGUGAGCAUUUUUUGAGAAUAAGUUUUAUGUUUUAUUUAAACUUUACACGCCGUAUUAACUGUCCCUCUUUUGAGGGCCAGGAUGAAGCAUUGGGAAGUUGCUAAGUCUUUGAAUUCCCAAGUUGUGUGUUCAAAGGUAAAUUUAGUAAGUUGUUGCUAUUGACCCUUGACAAUUAUGAACAUCUGUUUC